GAUGAACGCUGGCGGCGUGCUUAACACAUGCAAGUCGAACGGAAAGGCCCUCUUCUUGUGGGGUGCUCGUGUCGCACGCGUGUGUGAAACAUGUGAGUAUUCCCCCUUUGAUUUUGUGAUCCCUCCAGGACAGUGGGGCUAACACCGGAUAGCAGCUCCUGCGCCAUGGUGGCGGUUGGAAAGUUCCGGCGGUUGGGGAUGGACUCGCGGCUUAUCAGCUUGUUGGUGGGGUAGUGGCUUACCAAGGCAUUGACGGGUAGCCGGCAUGAGAGGUGGACCGGCGACAUUGGGACUGAGAUACGGCCCAGACUGCUACGGGGGGCAGCAGUGGGGAAUCUUGCACAAUGGGCGGAAGCCUGAGGCAGCGACGCCGCGUGCGGGAUGAGGGCCUUCGGGUGGUAAACCGCUUUCGGCUGUGACGAAGCGGGAGUGACGGUACCGGAAGAAGAAGCACCGGCUAACUACGUG
RNAcentral lists this ribosomal RNA (468 nucleotides) under uncultured bacterium. RNAcentral's name for it is "partial 16S ribosomal RNA". It matches the Rfam family "Bacterial small subunit ribosomal RNA", at positions 28 to 507 of the family's 1533-position model. The record is from RNAcentral.